This 485-nucleotide ribosomal RNA is filed under the name uncultured bacterium. RNAcentral describes it as "partial 16S ribosomal RNA". It matches the Rfam family "Bacterial small subunit ribosomal RNA", at positions 28 to 507 of the family's 1533-position model. The record is from RNAcentral.
GAUGAACGCUGGCGGCGUGCCUAACACAUGCAAGUCGAACGGAAAGGCUCCUGCUUGCAGGGGUUCUCGAGUGGCGCACGGGUGUGUAACACGUGGGUGUACCGUCCUGCACUUCGUGAUAUGCCUGGGAAACUGGGGCUAAUACAGGAGAGGAUAUUGGGUAGGAUGUCAUUCUGGAGAGAUUUUCGGUUUUGGUGUCGCUUGCACCGUAUCCGGUUGUUGGUGAGGUAAUGGGCUACCAAGGCGCCGACGGGUACCCGGAGGGAGAGGCGGAUCGGCGACAUGGGAACUGAGACACGGUCCAGACGCCUACGGGAGGCAGCAGUCGGGAAUCUUCGGCAAUGGGCGAAAGCCUUACGGAGCGACGCCGAGCGUGUGACGAAGGUCUUCGGAUCGGAAAGCCCUCUUACUAGUGAAGAACAACUGUCGAAGGAAACAUGCCCGUCUUGACGGUACCUAAAGAAAAAGCACCGGCUAACUACGUG